AUGAACGCUGGCGGCGUGCCUAAUACAUGCAAGUCGAGCGAACAGACGAGGAGCUUGCUCCUCUGACGUUAGCGGCGGACGGGUGCGUAACACGUGGAUAACCUACCUAUAAGACUGGGAUAACUUCGGGAAACCGGAGCUAAUACCGGAUAAUAUAUUGAACCGCAUGGUUCAAUAGUGAAAGACGGUUUUGCUGUCACUUAUAGAUGGAUCCGCGCCGCAUUAGCUAGUUGGUAAGGUAACGGCUUACCAAGGCAACGAUGCGUAGCCGACCUGAGAGGGUGAUCGGCCACACUGGAACUGAGACACGGUCCAGACUCCUACGGGAGGCAGCAGUAGGGAAUCUUCCGCAAAGGGCGAAAGCCUGACGGAGCAACGCCGCGUGAGUGAUGAAGGUCUUCGGAUCGUAAAACUCUGUUAUUAGGGAAGAACAAAUGUGUAAGUAACUAUGCACGUCUUGACGGUACCUAAUCAGAAAGCCACGGCUAACUACGUG
This 496-nucleotide ribosomal RNA is filed under the name uncultured bacterium. RNAcentral's name for it is "partial 16S ribosomal RNA". It matches the Rfam family "Bacterial small subunit ribosomal RNA", at positions 29 to 507 of the family's 1533-position model. The record is from RNAcentral.